AAAUACGGUUUGGAGUUUAUAUACAAGGUUUUGAAUUUAAACUUUUAACUUUGGGGUUAUAAAUGUUAAAAUGAAGUAUUAAAUAUAAAUUUUAAGACUUAGUUAUAAAGUUAAAGUUAUAAAACAAAAAUUCUUUGAAAAUUACAAAUUGUGUCUAGAUAUAAAAUUUAAAAGUUUAUGAUUUGAUAUGUAGUUUAGGUUCAGAGUUUUUAUGUGAAAUAUAAUGUUUGAAAAAUGAUUUUUCUUAACAUUAGGAAAAUGUUAUUAUAUGUCUUUGAUAGCAUUACUGAAACCGUUUAAAUGAUGUAUUUGGCGUUUAA
Molecule: long non-coding RNA, 320 nt
Filed under: Brassica napus (rape)
Lineage: Eukaryota; Viridiplantae; Streptophyta; Magnoliopsida; Brassicales; Brassicaceae
Description: long non-coding RNA (BNAP_LNC013851)
Source: RNAcentral